CCAAUAGCGUAUAUUAAAGUUGUUGCAGUUAAAAAGCUCGUAGUUGAAUUUCGGGGUCAGCAGGUUGGUCGUGCCACUGGUAUGCACUGGUUUCGCUGAUUCCUCCUUUCUGAAGAACUGUAAUGCCAUUAAUUUGGUGUUGCAGGGAAACAGGACUGUUACUUUGAAAAAAUUAGAGUGUUUAAAGCAAGCUAACGCUUGAAUACAUUAGCAUGGAAUAAUGAAAUAGGACGUUUGAUCCUAUUUUGUUGGUUUCUAGGAUUGACGUAAUGAUUAAUAGGGAUAGUUGGGGGCAUUAGUAUUCAAUUGUCAGAGGUGAAAUUCUUGGAUUUAUUGAAGACUAACUACUGCGAAAGCAUUUGCCAAGGAUGUUUUCAUUAAUCAAGAACGAAAGUUAGGGGAUCGAAGACGAUCAGAUACCGUCGUAGUCUUAACCAUAAACUAUGCCGACUAGGGAUCGGAUGAUGUUAAUUUUUUAAUGACUCA
This 486-nucleotide ribosomal RNA is filed under the name uncultured Glomeromycotina. Its description in RNAcentral is "SSU rRNA". It matches the Rfam family "Eukaryotic small subunit ribosomal RNA", at positions 591 to 1078 of the family's 1831-position model. Lineage: Eukaryota; Fungi; Glomeromycota. The record is from RNAcentral.